CCUACGGGAGGCAGCAGUGAGGAAUAUUGGUCAAUGGGCGCGAGCCUGAACCAGCCAAGUAGCGUGAAGGAUGACUGCCCUACGGGUUGUACACUUCUUUUAUAAAGGAAUAAAGUGAGGCACGUGUGCCUUUUUGUAUGUACUUUAUGAAUAAGGAUCGGCUAACUCCGUGCCAGCAGCCGCGGUAAUACGGAGGAUCCGCGCGUUAUCCGGAUUUAUUGGGUUUAAAGGGUGCGUAGAUGGGUUGUUAAGUCAGUUGUGAAAGUUUGCGGCUCAACCGUAAAAUUGCAAUUGAUACUGGCAGUCUUGAGUACAGGUGAGGUAGGCGGAAUUCGUGGUGUAGCGGUGAAAUGCUUAGAUAUCACGAAGAACCCCGAUUGCGAAGGCAGCUUACUAAACUGUGACUGACAUUGAUGCUCGAAAGUGUGGGUAUCAAACAGGAUUAGAUACCCCUGUAGUC
RNAcentral lists this ribosomal RNA (460 nucleotides) under uncultured bacterium. RNAcentral describes it as "partial 16S ribosomal RNA". It matches the Rfam family "Bacterial small subunit ribosomal RNA", at positions 338 to 795 of the family's 1533-position model. The record is from RNAcentral.